ACUCCUACGGGAGGCAGCAGUGGGGAAUAUUGCACAAUGGGGGAAACCCUGAUGCAGCCAUGCCGCGUGUGUGAAGAAGGCCUUCGGUUGUAAAGCACUUUCAGUAGGGAGGAAGGUAGUGUAGUUAACACCUGCACUAUUUGACGUUACCUACAGAAGAAGCACCGGCUAACUCCGUGCCAGCAGCCGCGGUAAUACGGAGGGUGCGAGCGUUAAUCGGAAUUACUGGGCGUAAAGCGCAUGCAGGCGGCCUGUUAAGUCAGAUGUGAAAGCCCGGGGCUUAACCUCGGAAUUGCAUUUGAAACUGGCAGGCUAGAGUCUUGUAGAGGGGGGUAGAAUUUCAGGUGUAGCGGUGAAAUGCGUAGAGAUCUGAAGGAAUACCAGUGGCGAAGGCGGCCCCCUGGACAAAGACUGACGCUCAGAUGCGAAAGCGUGGGGAGCAAACAGGAUUAGAUACCCUGGUAGCACAGAG
This 472-nucleotide ribosomal RNA is filed under the name uncultured bacterium. Its description in RNAcentral is "bacterial SSU rRNA". It matches the Rfam family "Bacterial small subunit ribosomal RNA", at positions 335 to 799 of the family's 1533-position model. The record is from RNAcentral.